This 497-nucleotide ribosomal RNA is filed under the name uncultured bacterium. Its description in RNAcentral is "partial 16S ribosomal RNA". It matches the Rfam family "Bacterial small subunit ribosomal RNA", at positions 28 to 507 of the family's 1533-position model. The record is from RNAcentral.
GAUGAACGCUGGCGGCGUGCCUAAUACAUGCAAGUCGAGCGAACGGACGAGAAGCUUGCUUCUCUGAUGUUAGCGGCGGACGGGUGAGUAACACGUGGAUAACCCAUCUAUAAGACUGGGAUAACUUCGGGAAACCGGAGCUACUACCGGAUAAUAUUUUGAACCGCAUGGUUCAAAAGUGAAAGACGGGCUUGCUGUCACCUAUAGAUGGAUCCGCGCUGCAUUAGCUAGUUGGUAAGGUAACGGCUUACCAAGGCGACGAUGAAUAGCCGACCUGAGAGGGUGAUCGGCCACACUGGAACUGAGACACGGUCCAGACUCCUGCGGGAGGCAGCAGUAGGGAAUCUUCCGCAAUGGGCGAAAGCCUGACGGAGCAACGCCGCGUGAGUGAUGAAGGUCUUCGGAUCGUAAAACUCUGUUAUUAGGGAAGAACAUAUGUGUAAGUAACUGUGCACAGCUUGACGGUACCUAAUCAGAAAGCCACGGCUAACUACGUG